This 228-nucleotide ribosomal RNA is filed under the name Triticum aestivum (bread wheat). RNAcentral describes it as "partial small subunit ribosomal RNA". Lineage: Eukaryota; Viridiplantae; Streptophyta; Magnoliopsida; Poales; Poaceae. The record is from RNAcentral.
AUGAGUAUUCUUAGUUGGAACUGCCGGGGCCUGGGGCAGCCCCGGACAGUUCAAGAGUUGGUGUGCCUUGUGCAUACCUACCGCCCCAAGAUCGUCUUCUUGCCUGAAACAAGGCAAUGCGAAGAGAAAGUGAGAAGAAUAAGAUGGAGAAUAGGCCUGAGGCACUACUUUACUCACGAUGGUAAGGGCAAAGGUGGAGGCAUUGCUUUGUACUGGAUGAUCAAAUAA